Varibaculum cambriense DORA_20 is the source of this 45-nucleotide regulatory RNA element. It matches the Rfam family "L31-Actinobacteria ribosomal protein leader". The record is from Rfam. Lineage: Bacteria; Bacillati; Actinomycetota; Actinomycetes; Actinomycetales; Actinomycetaceae.
CCGGUUCCGGUUCACCUUAUGUAACCUGCAUUUGGACCCGGCGCC